This 765-nucleotide ribosomal RNA is filed under the name uncultured bacterium. Its description in RNAcentral is "bacterial SSU rRNA". It matches the Rfam family "Bacterial small subunit ribosomal RNA", at positions 554 to 1322 of the family's 1533-position model. The record is from RNAcentral.
CUGGGCGUAAAGCGUGCGCAGGCGGAUUGUUAAGCAAGACGUGAAAGCCCCGGGCUUAACCUGGGAAUGGCGUUUUGAACUGGCAGUCUAGAGUGCGUCAGAGGGGGGUGGAAUUCCACGUGUAGCAGUGAAAUGCGUAGAGAUGUGGAGGAACACCAAUGGCGAAGGCAGCCCCCUGGGAUGACACUGACGCUCAUGUACGAAAGCGUGGGUAGCAAACAGGAUUAGAUACCCUGGUAGUCCACGCCCUAAACGAUGUCGACUGGUUGUUGGGGGAGUGAAAUCCCUUAGUAACGAAGCUAACGCGUGAAGUUGACCGCCUGGGGAGUACGGUCGCAAGAUUAAAACUCAAAGGAAUUGACGGGGACCCGCACAAGCGGUGGAUGAUGUGGAUUAAUUCGAUGCAACGCGAAAAACCUUACCUACCCUUGACAUGUCCAGGAUCCUGCAGAGAUGCGGGAGUGCCCGAAAGGGAAUUGGAACACAGGUGUUGCAUGGCUGUCGUCAGCUCGUGUCGUGAGAUGUUGGGUUAAGUCCCGCAACGAGCGCAACCCUUAUCAUUAGUUGCUACGCAAGGGCACUCUAAUGAGACUGCCGGUGACAAACCGGAGGAAGGUGGGGAUGACGUCAAGUCCUCAUGGCCCUUAUGGAUAGGGCUUCACACGUCAUACAAUGGUCGGUACAGAGGGUUGCCAAGCCGCGAGGUGGAGCCAAUCCCAGAAAGCCGAUCGUAGUCCGGAUUGUUCUCUGCAACUCGAGAGCAUG